CGAAAUCUUUGCUCAUACUGUUUUGGUUGGGUUGGCCGUUACAAAUAUUAUCCGGUUCUUGUCCUUAGUUCUGUGAUUUAGCAAAUCUAACAUUUGUUCUGCAACUAGAAUGACUGCUGUGUCAGAAUCAAGACAGGACGUGGAGCAAUGGUUUAGUUUGAAUGAUUGCACAUGCCUGAAGAAAACCAGAAAUCAGAAACUGAUAUCAAAUCAAGGC
Molecule: unclassified non-coding RNA, 217 nt
Filed under: Hevea brasiliensis (rubber tree)
Lineage: Eukaryota; Viridiplantae; Streptophyta; Magnoliopsida; Malpighiales; Euphorbiaceae
Source: RNAcentral